GAAACGCGAUAGUUAAUGUGAAUUGCAGAAUUCAGUGAAUCAUCGAGUCUUUGAACGCACAUUGCGCCCAUAGGUAUUCCUUUGGGCAUGUCUGUUUGAGCGUCAUUACAACCCUCAGCUAACCGCUGGUUUUGAACCUGAACGGGUGACACCGCGCCGGUUUUAAAGUUGUAAGCUCUGCUGGCCUCUCUGCCCAACCAGAACAUAGUAAGCACUACUUGUCCGGGUGAAGCUGAACGGUACGGCCUGAACAAAACCUACCCACUCUCAAGGUUUGACCUCAGAUCAGACAAGGAUACCCGCUGAACUUAAGC
RNAcentral lists this unclassified non-coding RNA (314 nucleotides) under plant metagenome. RNAcentral describes it as "partial contains 5.8S ribosomal RNA, internal transcribed spacer 2, and large subunit ribosomal RNA". The stretch from base 1 to 105 matches the Rfam family "5.8S ribosomal RNA", at positions 50 to 154 of the family's 154-position model. The record is from RNAcentral.